ACUCCUACGGGAGGCAGCAGUGAGGAAUAUUGGGCAAUGGAGGCAACUCUGACCCAGCCAUGCCGCGUGAAGGAAGACUGCCUUAUGGGUUGUAAACUUCUUUUAUAAGGGAAGAAAUGAUUCUACGCGUAGAAUUUUGACGGUACCUUAUGAAUAAGCACCGGCUAACUCCGUGCCAGCAGCCGCGGUAA
Molecule: ribosomal RNA, 191 nt
Filed under: uncultured Flavobacteriales bacterium
Lineage: Bacteria; Pseudomonadati; Bacteroidota; Flavobacteriia; Flavobacteriales
Description: partial 16S ribosomal RNA
Rfam family: Bacterial small subunit ribosomal RNA
Source: RNAcentral